GGAGGGGUGCCUGAGUCUGGUUUAAAGGGUCCGACUCGAAAUCGGAUUCUCGAUUAAAGUCGAGACGGGGGUUCAAAUCCCUCCCCCUCCG
Molecule: transfer RNA, 91 nt
Filed under: Candidatus Omnitrophota bacterium
Lineage: Bacteria; Pseudomonadati; Candidatus Omnitrophota
Description: tRNA-Ser
Rfam family: tRNA
About the family: Transfer RNA (tRNA) molecules are approximately 80 nucleotides in length.
Source: RNAcentral